Molecule: long non-coding RNA, 601 nt
Organism: Ficedula albicollis (Collared flycatcher)
Lineage: Eukaryota; Metazoa; Chordata; Aves; Passeriformes; Muscicapidae
Source: Ensembl
AAGGCCUAUUCCUUGUGAAAGUCAAACAUUUCAUUUCAACACAUUUAAGGUAUUACACUUUUCCUCCCUGGUACAUAGAUGUCAACCCUACAACACCCCAGAUUCCUUCCAAGCACACUGAUAUAAGCUCCACAGUACCUCAGACUGGGUAAAGAACUGCCAGUCCAUGAAGAUCUUCAUAAAGUCCAAAAUAUGUUGCCUGUCUUCUGCAAACAAUGAAGUCACGAAGAAAAUUCCUUUCUACUGAAAUGCAUCAAAGGAUCCAUCCCCAUGAGCUAUCAACGCUCAUAAAGCCUCCUUUCACAGCUACCCCAGUGUCUCCUGCAGCUGUUUUGCUGCUGCUGCUAUUUCUGCAUUCAUUGCAACCCCAAUAGAGAGAGACAGAACAAAGCAAAAAGUACAUGUCACUAAAAGUAUUAUUUGGAUCUGCUACACGUCCCUCUUUUUUGUGGAUGAACAUGUUAGAGGGGAUGAGAUUUAUAUCUAUGAAACCUCAACUACAAACAGAGGCAAUUUCAGAUUGAGUUGAACUCCUUUAUUCUUUUAAAGAUACUUACUGAUCCAGUUGAAUAAAUCCAUGACAGAAAAAUGUUCUUUCAUU